GCUGCCAGAACCGAUCACGAUCAGGUCGUAGUCGUAGCUGACCGUCCCGUCCGAGGAAGGAGACUCGCCUCCGAGGCGCAGGAUCCGCUCGACGCGGUAGCGCGUGCCGGCGAGCGCCUCCUCGAGCGCGGUCUGGUCCACGUCUCCCUCCGACACGGUCGCGCUGCCGCGCCGCCAGUCGACUGAGGCCUGGUUGGCUCCCGCCCGCUUCAGUGCGGCGCCGACGUGACGAGCGCAGGUGUCGCACGUCAUUCCCUUGAUCUCGAGCUCUAGUCCAGCCAUCUUUCUCCUUGGUUUGUAUCAGUCUAAUCUGAUAUUCGAUACGGU
This 327-nucleotide unclassified non-coding RNA is filed under the name uncultured fungus. RNAcentral describes it as "sequence contains ITS1". The record is from RNAcentral. Lineage: Eukaryota; Fungi.